AUUGAACGCUGGCGGCAUGCCUUACACAUGCAAGUCGAACGGUAACAGGUCUUCGGAUGCUGACGAGUGGCGAACGGGUGAGUAAUACAUCGGAACGUGCCUAGUAGUGGGGGAUAACUACUCGAAAGAGUGGCUAAUACCGCAUGAGAUCUACGGAUGAAAGCAGGGGAUCGCAAGAACUUGUGCUACUAGCGCGGCCGAUGGCAGAUUAGGUAGGUGGUGGGAUAAAAGCUUACCAAGCCGACGAUCUGUAGCUGGUCUGAGAGGACGAUCAGCCACACUGGGACGGAGACACGGCCCAGACUGCUACGGGAAGCAGCAGUUGGGAAUUUUGGACAAUGGGCGAAAGCCUGAUCCAGCAAUGCCGCGUGCAGGAUGAAGGCCUUCGGGUUGUAAACUGCUUUUGUACGGAACGAAAAGCCCCGGGUUAAUACCCUGGGGUCAUGACGGUACCGUAAGAAUAAGCACCGGCUAACUACGUGCCAGCCGCCGCCGUAA
RNAcentral lists this ribosomal RNA (498 nucleotides) under uncultured bacterium. RNAcentral describes it as "partial 16S ribosomal RNA". It matches the Rfam family "Bacterial small subunit ribosomal RNA", at positions 30 to 523 of the family's 1533-position model. The record is from RNAcentral.